This 1578-nucleotide long non-coding RNA is filed under the name Triticum aestivum (bread wheat). RNAcentral describes it as "long non-coding RNA (TAES_LNC004220)". Lineage: Eukaryota; Viridiplantae; Streptophyta; Magnoliopsida; Poales; Poaceae. The record is from RNAcentral.
CCAUGUAAUGAACAAGAAUGGGAUAAGGAGUUGGCUUACAAUCGCCACUUCACACAAUACAUAAUAAAACAUACAUCAUUCAGAGAUACACACAUAGGUCCGACUACGGAACCAAAAGAAAAGAAGACAACCCAACUGCUAGAUCCCUGAUCGUCCCAACUGGGCUCCACUACUGAUCAACAAGAAAAGAAACAACACAACGGACAAGAUCUUCACCGAGCUCCCACUUGAGCUCAGUAGCGUCACCUGCACUGGUCUCAUCGGCACCUGCAACUGUUUGGAAGUAUCUGUGAGUCACGAGGACUCAGCAGUCUCACACCCGCGAGAUCAAGACUAUUUAAGCUUAUAGGAAAGGAUGGUGUAGUGAGGUGGAGCUGCAGCAAGCACUAAGCAUAUAUGGUGGCUAAACAUACGCAAAUAAGAGCGAGAAGAGAAGCAACGGAUCAGUCGUGAAGCUAGCAAUGAUCAAGAAGUGAUCCUGAACUCCUACUUACGUCAAACAUAACCCAGAAACCGUGUUCACUUCCCGGACUCCGCCGAGAAGAGACCAUCACGGCUACACACGCGGUUGAUGCGUUUUAAUUAAGGUCAAGUGUCAAGUUCUCUACAACCGGACAUUAACAAAUUCCCAUCUGCCACAUAACCGCGGGCACGGCUUCCGAAAGAUAAUACCCUGCAGGGGUGUCCCAACUUAGCCCAUUAUAAGCUCUCACGGUCAACGAAGGAUAAACCUUCUCCCGAAAAGACCCGAUCAGUCUCGGAAUCCCGGUUUACAAGACAUUUCGACAAUGGUAAAACAAGACCAGCAAAGCGGCCCGAAUGUGCCGACAAAUCCCGAUAGGAGCUGCACAUAUCUCGUUCUCAGGGCACACCGGAUUGUCCAAGCUUCCGGUAGGCCAGCCCAGAGUUGCCCCUGGUGGCCACCGGCGACUGACAGGUUGGACCAACACUCAGAGGAGCACUGGCCCGGGGGUUUAAAAUAAAGAUGACCCUUGAGUCUGCAGAACCCAAGGGAAAAGGCUUAGGCAGGCAAAUGGUAAAACCAAGGUUGGGCCUUGCUGGAGGAGUUUUAUUCAAAGCGAACUGUCAAGGGGGUCCCAUAAAUCACCCAACCGUGUAAGGAACGCAAAAUCAAGGAACAUAACACCGGUAUGACGGAAACUAGGGCGGCAAGAGUGGAACAAAACACCAGGCAUAAGGCCGAGCCUUCCACCCUUUACUAAAUAUAUAGAUGCAUUAAUAAUAUAAGAGAUAUUGUGAUAUCCCAACAUAAACAUAAUCCAACAUGGAACAAUCUUCAACUUCACCUGCAUCUAGCAACGCUAUAAGAGGGGCUGAGCAAAAGCGGUAACUUAGCCAAACAAUGGUUUGCUAGGAAGGUGACAAAGGUUAGAGGUUCAUGGCAAUUUGGGAGGCUUGAAGAGCAAGUGAAUAGGUAACGCGGCAUAGCAAUAGAGCGAACAACUAGCAAGCAAAGAUAGAAGUGAUUUCGAGGGUAUGGUCAUCUUGCCUGAGAUCCCGCAAGGAAGAAGAACGAGUCCAUGAAGAAGACAAACGGAUGUAGUCGAACGAAUCCUC